RNAcentral lists this ribosomal RNA (408 nucleotides) under uncultured bacterium. RNAcentral's name for it is "bacterial SSU rRNA". It matches the Rfam family "Bacterial small subunit ribosomal RNA", at positions 406 to 808 of the family's 1533-position model. The record is from RNAcentral.
GGAAGACUGCCCUAUGGGUUGUAAACUGCUUUUAUCCGGGAAUAAACCUAAGUACGCGUACUUAGCUGAAUGUACCGGAAGAAUAAGGAUCGGCUAACUCCGUGCCAGCAGCCGCGGUAAUACGGAGGAUCCAAGCGUUAUCCGGAUUUAUUGGGUUUAAAGGGUGCGUAGGCGGCCUGUUAAGUCAGGGGUGAAAGACGGUAGCUCAACUAUCGCAGUGCCCUUGAUACUGAUGGGCUUGAAUGGACUAGAGGUAGGCGGAAUGAGACAAGUAGCGGUGAAAUGCAUAGAUAUGUCUCAGAACACCGAUUGCGAAGGCAGCUUUACUAUGGUCUUUAUUGACGCCUGAGGCACGAAAGCGUGGGGAUCAAACAGGAUUAGAUACCCUGGUAGUCCAAGGGCGAAUUC